This 500-nucleotide ribosomal RNA is filed under the name uncultured bacterium. Its description in RNAcentral is "partial 16S ribosomal RNA". It matches the Rfam family "Bacterial small subunit ribosomal RNA", at positions 29 to 523 of the family's 1533-position model. The record is from RNAcentral.
AUUGAACGCUGGCGGCAUGCCAUACACAUGCAAGUCGGACGGCAGCACGGGAGCAAUCCUGGUGGCGAGUGGCGAACGGGUGAGUAAUAUAUCGGAACGUGCCCAGUCGUGGGGGAUAACGCAGCGAAAGCUGUGCUAAUACCGCAUACGAUCUAAGGAUGAAAGCGGGGGAUCGCAAGACCUCGCGCGAUUGGAGCGGCCGAUAUCAGAUUAGCUAGUUGGUGGGGUAAAGGCCCACCAAGGCGACGAUCUGUAGCUGGUCUGAGAGGACGACCAGCCACACUGGAACUGAGACACGGUCCAGACUCCUACGGGAGGCAGCAGAGGGGAAUUUUGGACAAUGGGCGCAAGCCUGAUCCAGCAAUGCCGCGUGCAGGAUGAAGGCCUUCGGGUUGUAAACUGCUUUUGUACGGAACGAAACGGCCCUUUCUAAUACAGGGGGCUAAUGACGGUACCGUAAGAAUAAGCACCGGCUAACUACGUGCCAGCCGCCGCGGUAA